GACGAACGCUGGCGGCGUGCUUAACACAUGCAAGUCGAACGGAAAGGCCCUGCUUUUGUGGGGUGCUCGAGUGGCGAACGGGUGAGUAACACGUGAGUAACCUGCCCUUGUCUUUGGGAUAACUUCAGGAAACUGGGGCUAAUACCGGAUAGGAGCUCCUGCUGCAUGGUGGGGGUUGGAAAGUUUCGGCGGUUGGGGAUGGACUCGCGGCUUAUCAGCUUGUUGGUGGGGUAGUGGCUUACCAAGGCUUUGACGGGUAGCCGGCCUGAGAGGGUGACCGGCCACAUUGGGACUGAGAUACGGACCAGACUCCUACGGGAGGCAGCAGUGGGGAAUAUUGCACAAUGGGCGGAAGCCUGAUGCAGCAACGCCGCGUGCGGGAUGACGGCCUUCGGGUUGUAAACCGCUUUCGCCUGUGACGAAGCGUGAGUGACGGUAAUGGGUAAAGAAGCACCGGCUAACUACGUG
RNAcentral lists this ribosomal RNA (468 nucleotides) under uncultured bacterium. RNAcentral describes it as "partial 16S ribosomal RNA". It matches the Rfam family "Bacterial small subunit ribosomal RNA", at positions 28 to 507 of the family's 1533-position model. The record is from RNAcentral.